This 253-nucleotide ribosomal RNA is filed under the name uncultured bacterium. RNAcentral's name for it is "partial 16S ribosomal RNA". It matches the Rfam family "Bacterial small subunit ribosomal RNA", at positions 524 to 776 of the family's 1533-position model. The record is from RNAcentral.
UACGGGGGGGGCAAGCGUUGUUCGGAAUUACUGGGCGUAAAGGGUUCGUAGGCGGCUUGUUAAGUCAGACGUGAAAUCCCUCGGCUCAACCGGGGAACUGCGUCUGAGACUGAUGAGCUCGAGUGCAGGAGAGGAACGCGGAAUUCCAGGUGUAGCGGUGAAAUGCGUAGAUAUCUGGAGGAACACCGGUGGCGAAGGCGGUUCUCUGGGCAUUACCUGACGCUGAGGAGCGAAAGUGUGGGGAGCGAACAGG